Molecule: ribosomal RNA, 404 nt
Filed under: uncultured bacterium
Lineage: Bacteria
Description: bacterial SSU rRNA
Rfam family: Bacterial small subunit ribosomal RNA
Source: RNAcentral
CACCUUUGACAUGUACGGAAGGAUCCAGAGAUGGAUUUGUGCUCGAAAGAGAACCGUAACACAGGUGCUGCAUGGCUGUCGUCAGCUCGUGUCGUGAGAUGUUGGGUUAAGUCCCGCAACGAGCGCAACCCUUGUCAUUAGUUGCUACAUUUAGUUGGGCACUCUAAUGAGACUGCCGGUGACAAACCGGAGGAAGGUGGGGAUGACGUCAAGUCCUCAUGGCCCUUAUAGGUGGGGCUACACACGUCAUACAAUGGCUGGUACAAAGGGUUGCCAACCCGCGAGGGGGAGCUAAUCCCAUAAAACCAGUCGUAGUCCGGAUCGCAGUCUGCAACUCGACUGCGUGAAGUCGGAAUCGCUAGUAAUCGUGGAUCAGAAUGUCACGGUGAAUACGUUCCCGGGUC